Molecule: ribosomal RNA, 429 nt
Filed under: Chloroflexota bacterium
Lineage: Bacteria; Bacillati; Chloroflexota
Description: Chloroflexi bacterium partial 16S ribosomal RNA
Rfam family: Bacterial small subunit ribosomal RNA
Source: RNAcentral
UAGGGAAUCUUCGGCAAUGGACGAAAGUCUGACCGAGCAACGCCGCGUGAGUGAAGAAGGUUUUCGGAUCGUAAAACUCUGUUGUUAGAGAAGAACAAGGACGUUAGUAACUGAACGUCCCCUGACGGUAUCUAACCAGAAAGCCACGGCUAACUACGUGCCAGCAGCCGCGGUAAUACGUAGGUGGCAAGCGUUGUCCGGCUUUAUUGGGCGUAAAGCGAGCGCAGGCGGUUUCUUAAGUCUGAUGUGAAAGCCCCCGGCUCAACCGGGGAGGGUCAUUGGAAACUUGGAGACUUGAGUGCAGAAGAGGAGAGUGGAAUUCCAUGUGUAGCGGUGAAAUGCGUAGAUAUAUGGAGGAACACCAGUGGCGAAGGCGGCUCUCUGGUCUGUAACUGACGCUGAGGCUCGAAAGCGUGGGGAGCAAACAGG